RNAcentral lists this unclassified non-coding RNA (229 nucleotides) under plant metagenome. RNAcentral's name for it is "partial contains small subunit ribosomal RNA, internal transcribed spacer 1, and 5.8S ribosomal RNA". The record is from RNAcentral.
UCUCCGUAGGUGAACCUGCGGAGGGAUCAUUACAGAGUUCAUGCCCUACCGGGUAGAUCUCCCACCCUAUGUUAUUAUUACUUUGUUGCUUUGGCGGGCCGUUAGGCUCCGGCCCGACUACCGGCCCCGGCUGGUGAGCGCCCGCCAGAGGACCCAAAACCCUGAAUAUUAGUGUCGUCUGAGUACUAUAUAAUAGUUAAAACUUUCAACAACGGAUCUCUUGGUUCUC